GGACUGGAGUCUGCAACCCGACUCCACGAAGCUGGAUUCGCUGGUAAUCGCGCAUCAGCCACGGCGCGGUGAAUACGUUCCCGGGCCUUGUACACACCGCCCGUCAAGCCAUGGGAGCCGGGGUACCUGAAGUGCGUAACCGCGAGGAUCGCCCUAGGGUAAAACUGGUGACUGGGGCUAAGUCGUAACAAGGUACC
This 197-nucleotide ribosomal RNA is filed under the name uncultured bacterium. RNAcentral describes it as "partial 16S ribosomal RNA". It matches the Rfam family "Bacterial small subunit ribosomal RNA", at positions 1295 to 1500 of the family's 1533-position model. The record is from RNAcentral.